This 835-nucleotide ribosomal RNA is filed under the name uncultured prokaryote. RNAcentral describes it as "bacterial SSU rRNA". It matches the Rfam family "Archaeal small subunit ribosomal RNA", at positions 519 to 1353 of the family's 1478-position model. The record is from RNAcentral.
CCGUAGCUGGGUUGUUAAGUCUCUUGGGAAAUCUGGCGGCUUAACCGUCAGGCGUCUAAGGGAUACUGGCAAUCUUGGAACCGGGAGAGGUGAGGGGUACUUCGGGGGUAGGAGUGAAAUCCUGUAAUCCUCGAGGGACCACCUGUGGCGAAGGCGCCUCACCAGAACGGCUUCGACAGUGAGGGACGAAAGCUGGGGGAGCAAACCGGAUUAGAUACCCGGGUAGUCCCAGCCGUAGACUAUGCGCGUUAGGUGUAUCGGUGACCACGAGUUACCGAGGUGCCGAAGGGAAACCGUGAAACGUGCCGCCUGGGAAGUACGGUCGCAAGGCUGAAACUUAAAGGAAUUGGCGGGGGAGCACCACAACAGGUGGAGCCUGCGGUUUAAUUGGACUCAACGCCGGGAAGCUCACCGGAUAGGACAGCAGAAUGAUUGCCUGGCUGAAGACCCUGCAUGACUAGCUGAGAGGAGGUGCAUGGCCGUCGUCAGUUCGUACUGUGAAGCAUCCUGUUAAGUCAGGCAACGAGCAAGACCCACGCCAACAGUUGCCAGCAUGGUCUCCGGACUGAUGGGGACACUGUUGGGACCGCCUCUGCUAAAGAGGAGGAAGGAAUGGGCAACGGUAGGUCAGCAUGCCCCGAAUUAUCCGGGCUACACGCGGGCUACAAUGGGCAGGACAAUGGGCAUCGACACCGUGAGGUGGAGGCAAUCUCCUAAACCUGUCCUUAGUUCGGAUUGUGGGCUGAAACUCGCCCACAUGAAGCUGGAAUCUGUAGUAAUCGCGUUUCAAAAUAACGCGGUGAAUUUGUCCCUGCUCCUUGCACACACCGCCCGU